AACGAACGCUGGCGGCAUGCCUAACACAUGCAAGUCGAACGAGACCUUCGGGUCUAGUGGCGCACGGGUGCGUAACGCGUGGGAACCUGCCCUUAGGUUCGGAAUAACUCCCCGAAAGGGGUGCUAAUACCGGAUAAUGUCUUCGGACCAAAGAUUUAUCGCCUUUGGAUGGGCCCGCGUUGGAUUAGCUAGUUGGUAGGGUAAAAGCCUACCAAGGCGACGAUCCAUAGCUGGUCUGAGAGGAUGAUCAGCCACACUGGGACUGAGACACGGCCCAGACUCCUACGGGAGGCAGCAGUGGAGAAUAUUGGACAAUGGGCGAAAGCCUGAUCCAGCAAUGCCGCGUGAGUGAUGAAGGCCUUAGGGUUGUAAAGCCCUUUUACCCGGGAUGAUAAUGACAGUACCGGGAGAAUAAGCUCCGGCUAACUCCGUG
RNAcentral lists this ribosomal RNA (433 nucleotides) under uncultured bacterium. RNAcentral's name for it is "partial 16S ribosomal RNA". It matches the Rfam family "Bacterial small subunit ribosomal RNA", at positions 29 to 507 of the family's 1533-position model. The record is from RNAcentral.